This 72-nucleotide transfer RNA is filed under the name Bos taurus (domestic cattle). It matches the Rfam family "tRNA". From Rfam's summary of the family: Transfer RNA (tRNA) molecules are approximately 80 nucleotides in length. Their secondary structure includes four short double-helical elements and three loops (D, anti-codon, and T loops). Further hydrogen bonds mediate the characteristic L-shaped molecular structure. tRNAs have two regions of fundamental functional importance: the anti-codon, which is responsible for specific mRNA codon recognition, and the 3' end, to which the tRNAs corresponding amino acid is attached (by aminoacyl-tRNA synthetases). tRNAs cope with the degeneracy of the genetic code in two manners: having more than one tRNA (with a specific anti-codon) for a particular amino acid; and 'wobble' base-pairing, i.e. permitting non-standard base-pairing at the 3rd anti-codon position. RNAcentral also lists the same sequence under 3 other names. The record is from Rfam by way of RNAcentral. Lineage: Eukaryota; Metazoa; Chordata; Mammalia; Artiodactyla; Bovidae.
UCCCUGGUGGUCCAGUGGCUAAGACUCUGAGUUCCCAAUGCAGGGGCCCAGGUUCAAUCCCUGGUGAGGGAA